This 379-nucleotide ribosomal RNA is filed under the name uncultured eukaryote. RNAcentral describes it as "partial 18S ribosomal RNA". It matches the Rfam family "Eukaryotic small subunit ribosomal RNA", at positions 592 to 976 of the family's 1831-position model. The record is from RNAcentral.
CAAUAGCGUAUAUUAAAGUUGCUGUGGUUAAAAAGCUCGUAGUUGAACCUUGGGCCUGGCCGUCCGGUCCGCCUCACCGCGUGUACUGGCUCGGCCGGGCCUUUCCCUCUGUGGAACCCCAUGCCCUUCACUGGGCGUGGCGGGGAAACAGGACUUUUACUGUGAAAAAAUUAGAGUGCUCCAGGCAGGCCUAUGCUCGAAUACAUUAGCAUGGAAUAAUAGAAUAGGACGUGUGGUUCUAUUUUGUUGGUUUCUAGGACCGCCGUAAUGAUUAAUAGGGACAGUCGGGGGCAUCAGUAUUCAAUUGUCAGAGGUGAAAUUCUUGGAUUUAUUGAAGACUAACUACUGCGAAAGCAUUUGCCAAGGAUGUUUUCAUUAA